Molecule: ribosomal RNA, 332 nt
Filed under: Odontosyllis sp. GF-14778_2401
Lineage: Eukaryota; Metazoa; Annelida; Polychaeta; Phyllodocida; Syllidae
Also listed under: 1 other name
Description: partial large subunit ribosomal RNA
Rfam family: Bacterial large subunit ribosomal RNA
Source: RNAcentral
GUGCAAAGGUAGCAUAAUCACUUGCCUCUUAAUUAGAGGCUAGAAUGAAUGAAUAAACAAUGAUCCCCUGUCUCAUUACAAACCAUAAAAUUUUACUUUUAGGUGAAGAGGCCUAAAUAAUAAUAAAAGACAAGAAGACCCUAUCAAGCUUUAUUUCAUAAUAUAUAAUAAAUAUUUAAAAAUUUAGUUGGGGCGACAAAAAAUAAUAAAAAUCAUUUAACUAAAUAUGAAUAACCAUUCCCAAUCCAUUAACUUUACUAUAACAAAGAGAAAGCUACUGUAGGGAUAACAGGCUAAUACCUUUCAAGAGCUCUUAUCAACAAAGGUGAUUG